GACGAACGCUGGCGGCGUGCCUAAUACAUGCAAGUAGAACGCUGAAGGAGGAGCUUGCUUCUCCGGAUGAGUUGCGAACGGGUGAGUAACGCGUAGGUAACCUGCCUGGUAGCGGGGGAUAACUAUUGGAAACGAUAGCUAAUACCGCAUAACAGUAGAUAUUGCAUGAUAUCUGCUUGAAAGGUGCAAUUGCAUCACUACCAGAUGGACCUGCGUUGUAUUAGCUAGUUGGUGAGGUAACGGCUCACCAAGGCGACGAUACAUAGCCGACCUGAGAGGGUGAGCGGCCACACUGGGACUGAGACACGGCCCAGACUCCUACGGGAGGCAGCAGUAGGGAAUCUUCGGCAAUGGACGGAAGUCUGACCGAGCAACGCCGCGUGAGUGAAGAAGGUUUUCGGAUCGUAAAGCUCUGUUGUAAGAGAAGAACGAGUGUGAGAGUGGAAAGUUCACACUGUGACGGUAUCUUACCAGAAAGGGACGGCUAACUACGUC
Molecule: ribosomal RNA, 495 nt
Filed under: uncultured bacterium
Lineage: Bacteria
Description: partial 16S ribosomal RNA
Rfam family: Bacterial small subunit ribosomal RNA
Source: RNAcentral